This 69-nucleotide transfer RNA is filed under the name Pseudomyrmex particeps. Its description in RNAcentral is "tRNA-Met". Lineage: Eukaryota; Metazoa; Arthropoda; Insecta; Hymenoptera; Formicidae. The record is from RNAcentral.
AAAUAAGUAAGCUAAUUAUAAGCUUUUAGGUUCAUACCCUAAAUAUAGAACAUUUAAAUCUCUUAUUUA